RNAcentral lists this unclassified non-coding RNA (1203 nucleotides) under Hevea brasiliensis (rubber tree). The record is from RNAcentral. Lineage: Eukaryota; Viridiplantae; Streptophyta; Magnoliopsida; Malpighiales; Euphorbiaceae.
UCAGGAUUCAAUUAAAUCUUACCAUGAGGUUCCCAAAAUGAAACUACUAUAAGGGUUUUUAAGAUCUCUCCCAAAGAAAUGGAGGCAAAUUCAUUAUGACAUACUGAAACGACCUCCAAUUGGUUAUCAAUAAAGAUAGAUAGCAAUAGCUUAUAUGAACUUUGGGCAUACCUCAUGCCUUCCAGUUAUGGAUAAAUUGACAUUAACAAAUCUAAUCCAAUAUACUUGUGAAGUCAAUAUUCAUUUAGUUUGGCUCAAAAAUUUUCAGGGCAAUCACCAUAAUUUCAAUGAACAUCCAUAUCAAAUCACAAUAUUGUUGGCGUAUCUGUCUAACCAUUGACCUAUCAAAUAUUGUUGGAAGAGGGGCUUAUUUGUUCUUCUUUGGUUCUCCUGCAUAAUCAUCUAUUAGAGCUUCAACAUCGUUCCAGAACAAACCUUCCGCUAAAACUCCAUCCUUGGUGAACCAUUGGGUGACGCUCCUGGUAAACUGCACUGGUUUCCCUGCAGAAAUUGAUUUGGGAUCUGCACUUGCUAUGCUAAGUGUGUAGUCAUCAGAAAAUCUAGGCAAUUUGGAAGAGACCACCAAACCAGUGCUGGUGUAAGAUCCCUGCACACAAAAAAAAAAAAAAAGGGUUCAACAAUUAAUACAACCAAGUCUUCCGGGGAUGGAUGUUUGAAAGUACAAUAGCAUUCACAAAACAAUAGUUCAUAAACAGAACAUAAAACCAGACUUGUUCCAUUAUCCAGUAGGCUAAAUUCUUACUGUUCACAAACCAAAAAAAGUAAGGAAUGAAUAUGAACAGAUUUAUCGUUUUUCUGAAGAUAUGCACCAUUUAAAAAUAUGAACAAAACAGAAUCCAAGUACACAAGUUUGUGUACUUUGGAUUUUGUUUUCCUCUAAAAUAUGUUUCAUACUUAUACACAUGAUGCACAUAUUUUGAGAACAGACAAAUUUCUCCCUCUCUAGAACAAGCUAGCAUUCAUUAAAUGCCAAUCAGGUUAUAAACUAAAUAGCUCUUUUUCUUGAAGAACAUAAAGUCUAGAGGACAGACUCAUGCAUAUGAAGUUUACAGGGCAAAGUCGACAGGAAUCCCCAGCUCAAAUUUUCAAUUCCGAAAAGACACUGGCUAGUCAAUAAAAAAACUCAACUAAGGGCAAAAGUCCUGCAGAACUAAAAUCGUCUGAGAGAGAGAGAGAGAGAGA